GGGCGAUUAACUCAGACUGGUAGAGUACUACCUUCACACGGUAGGAGUCACAGGUUCAAAUCCUGUAUCGCCCACCA
RNAcentral lists this transfer RNA (77 nucleotides) under Candidatus Ancaeobacter aquaticus. Its description in RNAcentral is "tRNA-Val". It matches the Rfam family "tRNA". From Rfam's summary of the family: Transfer RNA (tRNA) molecules are approximately 80 nucleotides in length. Their secondary structure includes four short double-helical elements and three loops (D, anti-codon, and T loops). The record is from RNAcentral. Lineage: Bacteria; Pseudomonadati; Candidatus Auribacterota; Candidatus Ancaeobacteria; Candidatus Ancaeobacterales; Candidatus Ancaeobacteraceae.